CACAACCUAUUGAUAUUCACUCCAUCACAGGACUUGGAACAGUUUUGCUAGCAGAAAAUACGACUCUCUUCUAUGCUGUGGUAAAAUAGUACAACCACAAGGCCAGGAUCCAUAGAAUGUGACCAGCUGUUUCAGUGGUUUUCUGUUACUAUUUGUGAAGUCUUCAUUCUUGUCAUCUCUAGCAGAAGAGUGGUGCCAGUUGCCAGAGGUUUGAGGAAAAAGAAGUCAUGGGAGAAUUUACAUUUCAGAAAAUUCCAUUCAUUGACUUAAUUAUUUCUGGGAAUUCAGAAAAGACCACCAUGAUCCUUUAGCCGCGAAAACACUUGGGCCAGUUUUGGAAAUGCUAGAAUCCUGCAGGAGAAGCUUUUGAGAAAUUCAGUACUGUGCAGUGUUGUAACCCGAAUACUUUGCUGGAGAAAGGGUUACUGAGAGAUCAUAUUCACAAAUCAACGUGCAAUAGUGAAAAAAGAUGGCAACACUGAAGAACCUUACUGAAUAACCCAGUAUGGACCACGUAUUGUAAUAGGCACUUAAUUUCUCUCAAUCCUUUCGAUAUCUCCUUGAAAUAGACAGGGUCUCGCUCUGUCACCCAGGCUGGAGUGCAAUGAUGUGAUCUCGGCUCACUGCAACCUCCACCUCUGGGGUUCAAGAGAUUCUCCUGCCUCAGCCUCUCAAGUAGCUGGGAUUACAGCGAAGGUCAUAUGAUAGCUGCUUAAUAAAAUUUGCUGAUCGAAUGAAGGAGCUAAUGAAUUCAAUAAAAUCAGGGAAGGCUUCUUGGAGGAGGAGCACCUUGCUCCAGUGGGCUGAGAAGACAUUCCAUGAGACCAGAGCAAGGAGAGGAGUGGCCUGGCAGCUGAAGCCAGAGACAGACUUGAACCUGGAGUAGAGACAGCAUUUUACCAUGUUAUCCAGGCUAGUCUCAAACUCCUAGCCUCAAAUGAUCUGCCUGCCUCGGCCUUCCAGAGUGCUGGGAUUACAGGCUUGAGCCACUGCGCCUGGCUA
This 1002-nucleotide long non-coding RNA is filed under the name Homo sapiens (human). Its description in RNAcentral is "HSALNT0354322". The record is from RNAcentral. Lineage: Eukaryota; Metazoa; Chordata; Mammalia; Primates; Hominidae.